Molecule: small nucleolar RNA, 127 nt
Organism: Apodemus sylvaticus (European woodmouse)
Lineage: Eukaryota; Metazoa; Chordata; Mammalia; Rodentia; Muridae
Source: RefSeq, a predicted model, not a curated record
AUUGAGGUCUAUCCCGAUGGGGCUUCCCUAGUAGCCAGCCAUCGUUGGAAACGCCUCAUAGAGUAACUUGUGGUUCCUUGACUCAGGCCUAUUUGUUAGGUUUGUGGGAAGGAACUACAAGACAGCU